This 62-nucleotide microRNA precursor is filed under the name Caenorhabditis elegans. Its description in RNAcentral is "Cel-Mir-1821_pre stem-loop". The record is from RNAcentral. Lineage: Eukaryota; Metazoa; Nematoda; Chromadorea; Rhabditida; Rhabditidae.
UGCCCAACUUGCAGACUUUUCAAUUUUCGGCAAGUGGAAUUGAGGUCUUAUAGUUAGGUAGA